GGGCAGGCUCAGGAAGAGCCUUUUUUGGGCUUGUCUGGGCUUGUUCAGGCCUGAGCCUGCCUUUGUCUUUGCCAUCACAGGGAUCCCAGAGGAUCGAAGAGGAUCUGCCUCUGCCAUUUGCAGCUGCUUUGCUGCCCAGACCUCCUCGAGAGACCCCGGCCAUCUCCCAAACCAGCCUUUCUGACCUUCUCUGUCUCGUCAGCCCCCUUCAAGCCCUUCAUACACAAAUGCACAUCGGAGUUGGGGAUACUGAGGAGUGUCUAUUUUUUUGAGGGAUCCUAAAAAGCAGUAGCAGCCAGAAAAGCAGCUCUGUGCUCCCCCUGUCCCAAUGUGCUGCAGCCGUACCAGGAAAGCUGAGGAUGCUCCUUAGCAGCUGGAGUCCAGUGAGCAGUAAGUGAUUUGAUUCUGGGGAGUGAGUUGUUUGACUUCUGUGUUCAGGAGACAAGGUAAAUUAAUUUGUGUGGUAUUAGCCACUGUGGUUCAUUGUCUCGUCUAGCAUUUAUAUAGGGGAACACGGAAGCUGAAUGCUUAAUUCUUUGCAAGGAGCUGGCAGCUCCUGCUACACUUAGCACAAACUUGUCCUCUCCAUCCUAUUUCCAGUGUUGUUGCCUGGCUCAACAUGGUGCCUCCACAUUCAUUUUGUAAUGCAAAGGAUAAAUAAUGCAGCUCGAAUGCUGUGUCACCUGAUGCUCACGUGGGG
This 700-nucleotide long non-coding RNA is filed under the name Calidris pugnax (ruff). RNAcentral describes it as "lncRNA (ENSCPUG00000013276.1)". Lineage: Eukaryota; Metazoa; Chordata; Aves; Charadriiformes; Scolopacidae. The record is from RNAcentral.